UCCUCCUUUUUUAUUUUCUUGAUGGUGAUGAGUGAACCAGUCCGGUGGACCUCGCCUGAGAAGGUGACCGAAGGUCCAGCGCUGGUGGUGUGCUGGACAGGUUAUGAGUCAUUGAUCUCAUUUGAAAUGUUUUAAUUUCACGCGUUGGUUUUAAUUACCAUCCAUGCAGCGCAUUGACUUAGGUCUAUUGUGGAACGCGCGUUUUUGUCCACUUGAUCUGCCACCUCAAUUAAUGAGGGAGAUCAAGUGGUUCAAGUUUUUUUGAUUUUUUGAUUUUUUUUUUAAUUCAUUUGAUUUUCAUUAAUUCAUAUUAAUUUUAAUAUUGAUCCAAAAAAUAUGAGAGUUUCAGUAAAAAAAUUUAAAUAAAUUCCUCUUUCAUAUUUUGAAUUAAAAUUAUUUUUUGGAUUAUUAUUAAUAUUUUUCAUGAUUUAAUUGAUUUUGUGUUUGUUUUUAAUUCUUUAAAAAUACUUUUAAGUCUUUAAAAAUUCUGAAGUUUUUUCUCCAAGGUCCUUUGAC
RNAcentral lists this long non-coding RNA (516 nucleotides) under Lathyrus oleraceus (garden pea). RNAcentral describes it as "Pisum sativum (pea) long non-coding RNA (PSAT_LNC033912)". Lineage: Eukaryota; Viridiplantae; Streptophyta; Magnoliopsida; Fabales; Fabaceae. The record is from RNAcentral.